Danio rerio (zebrafish) is the source of this 548-nucleotide non-coding RNA. The record is from Ensembl. Lineage: Eukaryota; Metazoa; Chordata; Actinopteri; Cypriniformes; Danionidae.
CGUCACGUCCGACUCCGACGCACUGGUUUGGGUGUCUGUAGCCGCGGCUACAGUGCAUCGUGUGGCGGUGGCUUUUCCCUUGGCUGUGGUGGCUGGAUGACUGUUCAAUUGCAGGAACUGAGGUUUCCCCCGGUGGAUGACGGGUCACUUUCCACUGGUGGUGGUGUUUCUCUAUCGUGUGCUGUGGACACUGAGUGCGUGAUAGCGUGAUUUUUGAGUGCACUGUGGUGUGUGCGUGUGCUGGGGUAAAGUCUGUCCACUCGUACCCAGUCAGUGGGAACCUCCAAUCCUGGUUUGGUUUUGUUUAUUUAUUGUUUCUUGUGUUUAAUAAUGAAGUGGGAGUUUUUGAUGUAUUUUUAAAGAACCGUACCAUUUGAUAGUUUUAUUCCAAAUAAAUAUUUUUGUACUUUUUCAUUAACUCACGUCUCUGUGCCUUUCUGGGAGAAACGAACCUGUGUCCUUUUCUAAUAGUGUUUCCCUGGGUAACUCCUGGGGUGGCGUAGUCGGUUAUUUCUAUUUAAAGAGAUUUAAACCCUACUCUAUACCCU